This 428-nucleotide ribosomal RNA is filed under the name uncultured cyanobacterium. RNAcentral's name for it is "bacterial SSU rRNA". It matches the Rfam family "Bacterial small subunit ribosomal RNA", at positions 356 to 795 of the family's 1533-position model. Lineage: Bacteria; Bacillati; Cyanobacteriota. The record is from RNAcentral.
GGGGAAUUUUCCGCAAUGGGCGAAAGCCUGACGGAGCAAUCUCGCGUGAGGGAUGACUGCCUAUGGGUUGUAAACCUCUUUUUUCAGGGAGGAAUCAAUGACGUGUACCCUGAAGAAUAAGCAUCGGCUAACUCCGUGCCAGCAGCCGCGGUAAGANCGGAGGAUGCAAGUGUUAUCCGGAAUCACUGGGCGUAAAGCGUCUGUAGGUGGUUUAAUAAGUCAACUGUUAAAUCUUGAAGCUCAACUUCAAAAUCGCAGUCGAAACUGUUAGANCUAGAGUAUAGUAGGGGUAAAGGGAAUUUCCAGUGGAGCGGUGAAAUGCGUAGAGAUUGGAAAGAACACCGAUGGCGAAGGCACUUUACUGGGCUAUUACUGACACUCAGAGACGAAAGCUAGGGUAGCAAAUGGGAUUAGAUACCCCAGUAGUC